Long non-coding RNA from Oreochromis aureus, 767 nucleotides. Lineage: Eukaryota; Metazoa; Chordata; Actinopteri; Cichliformes; Cichlidae. The record is from Ensembl.
CCAGAAUCCACUCUGGCUGGAAUCCGGUGGAUACAGCAGUGUUACAGUGUUUGUCCUGUUUUGUUCCUCAGGUACAGUACGUGAUAUUAAGGGCAGGCGGUCAUCACCGGGGGAAGACAAGAAGCAGACGUACUUCCAAGAGGGAGCUGCAGUGAGGACACAGCCUGGUCACUGAGGUCAGAGGAGGCGCUGAAAGGUUUCCCUAAUAGUUCCUGGUGAAUCAAAGCAGAACUGUAAAGGUUGCUGGACUGCAUGAUGGCCUUACCCCUGAGAAGUCAUCCUGUUAAAGGAGGAACCAGUUAGAAGCUGUUUUCAAAGUAGCUGAGCAGAUUUCAUCUCAAUAGAUCAAAGCAGCUCGUGCUCUGUCUGCUUCCAUUCUGAUGGCAAGAAGAAGAAGAAGGAGAAGACUUCAGCGAAGUGGCGUUCAUGGUCUCAGUGGACAGUCAUGGUCACACACUGCAUGUGGUUUUAAAUGCAAUAUUGUUCACCACAACAAUGGAGAUGUGUAAUAUCAGUGCAGCUACGGUUUGUUCUUGAACAUCAGUUCUGUUUUCUACUUUGACCACUUAGACCAAAAAAAGUGUUGUUUUCAGAUUCUUUCUUUUUAAAUCUAUGAAGCACCUGUUCAUUUUUUAUUACAAUUAGUUUCACAUAAAUGUUAGUGUUUCCUUUAUGAUCUUUUAAUGCUUACGCUACACUGUACACGUCUACAUUAGAGACAUUUCUGUUACCUAUUUAUGAGACUGGGCUGCUUGACUACAAUUUGG